RNAcentral lists this transfer RNA (73 nucleotides) under Ailuropoda melanoleuca (giant panda). It matches the Rfam family "tRNA". From Rfam's summary of the family: Transfer RNA (tRNA) molecules are approximately 80 nucleotides in length. Lineage: Eukaryota; Metazoa; Chordata; Mammalia; Carnivora; Ursidae. The record is from Rfam by way of RNAcentral.
GCCCAGCUGGCUCAGUCAGUGGAGCGUUAGACUCUUGAUCUCAGGGUUGUGAGUUCUAACCCCAUGUUGGGCA